This 16-nucleotide ribosomal RNA is filed under the name Lactifluus volemus. RNAcentral describes it as "Lactarius volemus partial 28S ribosomal RNA". The record is from RNAcentral. RNAcentral also lists the same sequence under 16 other names. Lineage: Eukaryota; Fungi; Basidiomycota; Agaricomycetes; Russulales; Russulaceae.
UUGACCUCAAAUCGGG